GUUUGGUUAAGUUAGAAAGGGCGCACGGUGGAUGCCUUGACACUAGGAGUCGAUGAAGGACGGGACUAACGCCGAUAUGCUUCGGGGAGCUGUAAGUAAGCUUUGAUCCGAAGAUUUCCGAAUGGGGAAACCCACUAUACGUAAUGGUAUGGUAUCCUUACCUGAAUACAUAGGGUAUGGAAGACAGACCCAGGGAACUGAAACAUCUAAGUACCUGGAGGAAGAGAAAGCAAAUGCGAUUUCCUGAGUAGCGGCGAGCGAAACGGAAUCUAGCCCAAACCAAGAGGCUUGCCUCUUGGGGUUGUAGGACAUUCUAUACGGAGUUACAAAGGAACGAGGUAGACGAAGCGACCUGGAAAGGUCCGUCGUAGAGGGUAACAACCCCGUAGUCGAAACUUCGUUCUCUCUUGAAUGUAUCCUGAGUACGGCGGAACACGUGAAAUUCCGUCGGAAUCUGGGAGGACCAUCUCCCAAGGCUAAAUACUCCCUAGUGAUCGAUAGUGAACCAGUACCGUGAGGGAAAGGUGAAAAGCACCCCGGAAGGGGAGUGAAAGAGAUCCUGAAACCGUGUGCCUACAAAUAGUCAGAGCCCGUUAAUGGGUGAUGGCGUGCCUUUUGUAGAAUGAACCGGCGAGUUACGAUCCCGUGC
Molecule: ribosomal RNA, 649 nt
Filed under: Bacillus toyonensis
Lineage: Bacteria; Bacillati; Bacillota; Bacilli; Caryophanales; Bacillaceae
Also listed under: 1 other name
Description: partial 23S ribosomal RNA
Rfam family: Bacterial large subunit ribosomal RNA
Source: RNAcentral